CAGGCAUGGGAAGAUGGUAUCCCAAAACACAGGAAAGACCAUUCAAAAGAAAAAGUGACGGUCAAUGUUCAGGUUUCCACCUUCAUCAAAAACCUGAUGGACUUUGAGUGGCAUCUCAUUCAGUAAGUGCCACUUGGACUCUUGAAAACCAUUAAUAGUUCACAUUUUAAAACCCUGUUAA
Molecule: long non-coding RNA, 181 nt
Organism: Poecilia latipinna (sailfin molly)
Lineage: Eukaryota; Metazoa; Chordata; Actinopteri; Cyprinodontiformes; Poeciliidae
Exons: 2
Source: RefSeq, a predicted model, not a curated record